Molecule: long non-coding RNA, 3531 nt
Organism: Ictalurus punctatus (channel catfish)
Lineage: Eukaryota; Metazoa; Chordata; Actinopteri; Siluriformes; Ictaluridae
Source: Ensembl
ACACACACACACACACCAAUGGUAGCAGAGCUGCCAUGCGAGGCUCUAACUUUGCCAUCGGGAGCAAUUUGGGGCUCGGUGUCUCGCCCAAGGACACUUCAGCAUGUGGAGUCACGUGGGCCGGGAAUCGAACCUCCAACUCUAUGAUUAGUGGACAACCCGCUCUACCACCUGAUCCACAGCCGCACGAUAGUGGCUCUGUUUGUCUGUAUUGUUGAAUGUUUGUACAGUUGUUUCUAUUUAUUCAUUCAUUUCUGUCGUUAUUUUCUAGUGUGUCUGUACCCAAGCUUUAGCGAUACAAAUGUUAAUAUUUGUCAUUCCAGUAAAGCAACCUUUUGACUUUGACAGUAAGAGAUGGGGGGAGGAAGAGAGAGAGAGAGAGAGAGAGAGAGAGAGAGAGAGAUUUAAAGGAGGUGUGGUGUACUCCGUCACUCAGAGGCGUGUCUCUGAACUCUAAGGAUCAAAGGAAAUGAAAUAUUUCUUUAAUCUGAGCGCGCGCGCACACACACACGCACACACUACCUGUCUCGCGCGCGGUCUCUCUCGCUCUCUCACAGACGGAUUUAUUUAUUUGAGUAUUUAUGAUUUUUAUUGGAUGUACAGUUACAGUACAGACUUUCUGAGCAGAACUCGCACAGGAGGAGCCCCACAGAGCCAGGAGAGUCCCACAGGAGGAGUCCCACAGGAGGAGUCCCAGGAGUCCGGAUCCCGGAGUACAGCAGCGGGGUUGGUAUGAGACGGUGAAGAGCGUGCGCAGGAAUUUCAGCCUUCACUGAUUUCAAGUCCUGACGAGUGUGUGAGUAUAUAACUCUCUCAGCUCCUCUUCACUCUCCACACACCACACCACUGACACAGAAACAUUCAACACAGCAUCAGGUCCUAAACCUAAAAAUGAACACGUGUGUACGUGUGUGUGUGUGUGUGUGUGUGUGUUCCUCAGUGAGUGGCACAGAUUGAACAGUAAUCAGAGUUCGGCUUACACCUGCGUAUUUACCUACAUCACACUGUAGACGCACACACACACACACACACACACACACACACACACAAGAAUGUCACACAGGGUUUGUUUUUGUUUUGUAAUUUACAACCUCUUAAAUGUGUACAAUGUAAAUGUUUUACACGAGGGGUACCGAGAAAAAAAUUCAAGUCUGGGGGAAAAAAAGAAAGACAAAAGAAGAAAGAAAGAAGAGCAGUAGUUUAAUAUACAAAGGAAAGAGGGAGUAGAGAAAGACAGGAAAGAACGAAAGAAAGAAAAGAAAGAAGAGCAGUAGUUUAAUAUAAAAAAGAAAGAGGGGGUAGAGAAAGAAAGAAAAGAAAGAAAGAAAGAAAGAAAGAAAGAAGAGUAGUAGUUUAAUAUAAAAAAGGAAAGAGUGAGUAGAGAAAGACAGGAAAGAAAGAAAGACAGAAAAGAAAGAAAGAAAGAAAGAAGAGCAGUAGUUUAAUAUAAACAAAGAAAGAGGGAGUAGAGAAAGAAAGAAAGAAAGAAAGAAAGAAAGAAAGAAAGAAAGAAGAAAGAAGAGCAGUAGUUUAAUAUAAAAAAGAAAGAGCGAGUAGAGAAAGACAGAAAGAACGAAAGAACUAACAGCAGGACAACAGAAAAUGACAGAGGGACAGAAUGACGGAAAGAAAAAGAGGGUAGAUGAAAGGAAAAGGAAGAAAGGGAAGAAAAUAUGUGAUAAUAAAUGUUUGAUUCUCAGCAUGUUGUAAAUCUCUCACAUCCGCUCACUUUUUUUCGUUUGCUUUCUGUUUGAAAGAAACUCCUGACGUCACUUUUUCAAGUAGCCCCGCCCCCCCCCCACUGCUCCCCCCCCACUGCUCCCCCCCCCCACUGCUCCCCCAGUAGAAACCCACGCUGUGACUCAGAAGCCGCGCCUUUAAAAAGCAUCCCAUAAAACAAGACGUGUAAACCGUGCUGGAAACUACAGAGCUCACAGUGCUGUAACACACACACACACACACACACACACACACACACACACACACACAGACAGGUAGACCACAGGGUGUGGUAAGAUACACUUCUGAUAAUAAACCCUUAUUACAGGGGCUUUAUGCUCGCUCUUUAUAAGCAACCUGUAGCUUCCCCUCCGAAAGUACUGGAACGGCAAGGCUAAUCCUUCUGUUUUGGGAUGGAAAGAUUAAUAUGAGACAAAAAGAUCAAAUUUCAUAUCCUGUAUAUAAACAAACAACUUCGAACGUGGCAACCUCGGUGGACGACCACCCACCCGACUUGUUUUUGGUGAGCAAAAAUACUGGAACAUGUGACUGCCCGGUGUUUCCUGUAGCCUCAGGUGAGCCCUGUUAGAUUGAUCGUUUGAACGGUUAAUAGCUCUGAACGUCUACUCUUGCUUUGAGCUCUGGGGUUCACCUGUGAAGAUGGCAUUUGUUGUUAAAAAGGGUAAACCAACAUGAAGACCAGAGAGCCGUCUAUGGGAGAAAAGCGAGCCAUUUCGAAGCCUUUCAGAGGGGACUGCAAGUCAGGGUUAUAAUCUUAUUAUACUGCAUGUGCUGCGUGUCUAGAACACUUGAAGAUCAUCUCUCUCUCUAUAUAUAUAUAUAUAUAUUAAAUGAACACAACAGGCCUCAUUUAUCAAGCAGGAUAUGAACGGAUUUCUUCGUAAACAGUUCGUAUAAACGUUCACGCAAGAUCUUUAGCAGGAUCUCAUGCUAGUUCUUUAGGUCAGGGAGCUAAAAGAGUACCAUUGAGAAUAUUUAUCAAUUAAAGAAGAUAAAAAUGUAUUUAUUUUUUGCUAAAUCGAGCCAACAUAGACCCAUGAAUUAAGAAAACUACAAUGAAUCAGUGGCGUAUACACGGACGACGGGCCGUAAACAGACGCCUCCGCUGACAAAAGAUCGAGCGCUCAUUUAUUAUUAUCUUGAGCUUUGAUGGAGUUUUGUGGGCGUCGCUGCAAACGCGCAUGCAAAUGAGCCGUGUAGGUCAUGUGGAGCGUCCGCCAUACAACGAGUUACGAUGGAAAACGUAACACUAUCACACACACACACACACACACACACACCGACGUCCGGGUCAUAGAAGAGUAAAAUCAACGCCUUCUGAAGCAACAUAAUUCCGUAUAUAAAGUGUGUGAGAUGUUUGCUCGUCCAAGUCAAAGUCCAAGUCUUUCACGUUAACCCGAACCCCAGGAUUUCAGCACUCCUUCUUUUCAUCACCGCUUCCGAGCCCGUCGGACCGGGCGUCCUGCAGAUCCAGUUUGCAGCUGGUUCAAUCCAGAGACUCUCACACAACACUGCACCCCUGAGCAAGAAUAAUAGCUGCUCCCUCAAACACACCUGACAGGAUUCACCUGUGACGUGGAGGGACAGAUAAGGGGGGGACUGAGAGAGAGAGAGGUGGAGAGAGAGAGAAAGAGAGAGAGAGAGGUGAAGAGAAAGAGAUAAACAAACACAGAGAGAGAGAGAGAGAGAGAGAGAGAGAGAGAGAGAGAGAGGUGGAGAGAAAGAGAUAAACAAACACAGAGAGAGAGAGAGAGAGAGUUGAAGAGAAAGAGAUAAAAACACAGAAGGAGA